UAAUACGUAGGGACCUAGCGUUGUCCGGAAUCAUUGGGCGUAAAGCGCGCGUAGGCGGCCCGGUAAGUCCGUUGUAAAAGUCAAAGGCUCAACCUUUGAAAGCCGAUGGAUACUGCCGGGCUAGAGUCCGGAAGAGGCGAGUAGAAUUCCUGGUGUAGCGGUGGAAUGCGCAGAUAUCAGGAGGAAUACCCAUAGCGAAGGCAGCUCGCU
This 210-nucleotide ribosomal RNA is filed under the name uncultured bacterium. RNAcentral describes it as "partial 16S ribosomal RNA". It matches the Rfam family "Bacterial small subunit ribosomal RNA", at positions 521 to 730 of the family's 1533-position model. The record is from RNAcentral.